AAUGGGCGCAAGCCUGAUCCAGCGAUGCCGCGUGGAUGAUGAAGGCCCUAGGGUUGUAAAGUCCUUUCGAUGGUGAAGAUAAUGACGGUAACCAUUAAAGAAGCCCCGGCUAAUUUCGUGCCAGCAGCCGCGGUAAUACGAAAGGGGCAAGCGUUGUUCGGAAUUACUGGGCGUAAAGCGCGCGUAGGCGGCAUGCCAAGUUGGGGGUGAAAUCCCGGAGCUCAACUCCGGAACUGCCUCCAAAACUGGCAAGCUAGAGGAUGUGAGAGGAUAGUGGAAUUCCGAGUGUAGAGGUGAAAUUCGUAGAUAUUCGGAAGAACACCAGUGGCGAAGGCGACUGUCUGGCACAUUUCUGACGCUGAGGUGCGAAAGCGUGGGGAGCGAACAGGAUU
RNAcentral lists this ribosomal RNA (392 nucleotides) under uncultured Gammaproteobacteria bacterium. RNAcentral's name for it is "bacterial SSU rRNA". It matches the Rfam family "Bacterial small subunit ribosomal RNA", at positions 370 to 779 of the family's 1533-position model. The record is from RNAcentral. Lineage: Bacteria; Pseudomonadati; Pseudomonadota; Gammaproteobacteria.